Molecule: transfer RNA, 74 nt
Filed under: Anaerolineae bacterium
Lineage: Bacteria; Bacillati; Chloroflexota; Anaerolineae
Rfam family: tRNA
About the family: Transfer RNA (tRNA) molecules are approximately 80 nucleotides in length. Their secondary structure includes four short double-helical elements and three loops (D, anti-codon, and T loops). Further hydrogen bonds mediate the characteristic L-shaped molecular structure. tRNAs have two regions of fundamental functional importance: the anti-codon, which is responsible for specific mRNA codon recognition, and the 3' end, to which the tRNAs corresponding amino acid is attached (by aminoacyl-tRNA synthetases). tRNAs cope with the degeneracy of the genetic code in two manners: having more than one tRNA (with a specific anti-codon) for a particular amino acid; and 'wobble' base-pairing, i.e. permitting non-standard base-pairing at the 3rd anti-codon position.
Source: Rfam by way of RNAcentral
GCCCCAGUAGCUCAGUGGAUUAGAGCGUCUCCCUGCGGAGGAGAAGGCCAGGCGUUCGAGUCGCCUCUGGGGUA